Molecule: long non-coding RNA, 1553 nt
Filed under: Lactuca sativa (garden lettuce)
Lineage: Eukaryota; Viridiplantae; Streptophyta; Magnoliopsida; Asterales; Asteraceae
Description: long non-coding RNA (LSAT_LNC009776)
Source: RNAcentral
AUGAGUAUGUGAGGGUGCUUAGCUGUUGGGAUUCAGCAGUGUUUGUCAGCGCAGAGUAUAGGCCGACGAGAGCGAGUGUCGGGUAUGCGGGGCGGGAUACAGACCUAGGGCAUUUGAUUGUGGAGGCCUGAGAGAAGGCCGGGAUCAAGCUUGAGUAAGUAACCGGGGUUAUGCGAUCAGAGUAUUGGUAUGUUUGAGGUACGUGAUGGGUUGUACUGCAUUAAUCCCACGGGAUUAUGUUGUGCAUGUUUCUAGAGCUGGAACCGGAAGGUUCCCAGAGUUAGAACCUGAGGGUUCGCAGAGUUUNUACAGACCUAGGGCAUUUGAUUGUGGAGGCCUGGGAGCAGGCCGGGAUCAAGUUUGAGUAAGUAACCGGGGUUAUGUGAUCAGAGUAUUUGUAUGCUUGAUGUACGUGAUGGGUUGUACUGCAUUAAUCCCACGGGAUUUAUGUUGUGCAUGUUUCUAGAGUUGGAACCGGAAGGUUCCCAGAGUUAGAACCUGAGGGUUCACAGAGUUUGGGUGUACGGACCCACAGAGAUAUAGCCUCGAGUGGCUAGUGUGUGUUAUGAGAGUCGGUCCAGUCAUGCUGGGGACUCUGAUGGUAUUGUUGGAUCAGGUUGAGAUUUCGGAUUUUGUAUGUUGCAGUGUGAUUACAUUGGAAGGUCUGGCCCCGGGUUAGUGAUUUUGUUUAGUUGAGGUAGUGAUUCUGUGGAGUGGAGAGAGUGCAUGGGCUUGAGAGCCCCUGCAAUGAGAGCCAGAGUAUGUGGAUAGCGGUUACGCAAAAAGGGUGGUGUCGCUUAGGGCGAGCACCGUGGCACUGGUUGGAGUAGCAUUAUGGCCAAGAGGGUUCCUUGGAAAAGGAAAAGAGAAAGGUGUGUAACUCCGAAGGGGAGUGCAAGUUCACGAAAGUGAAAGCUGCAGAGCAGAGUCGUGGUUAGAGUAUUCGAGUAUGGUUUUGAGCAUCGUGUGCACGACAGUGAAGUAGGAACCCAUCCGGUUUGGGAUGUUUGUUGAGGCUCAGAAGGGAUGCAGGGGGAGAGAGAAUCUGGAAUUCUCAGUGUGAGUCUGAUCAGAGUAUAGGGUGGAUAUUAGUGGUUCAUCCUGGGAGAUGUUCGAGGAUAUCAUCAGUGUAUCGGGUCUUCCAACCUACGGGUGUUGGGGCUAGUUCAGCAUGGGUAUGUGAUUGCAAGAGGAGAACUCGUGAGAGUUGCUCUGAGAGUGAGAAUGGGUCUCUCAGUCGGUCCGGUAUGGACAAAGUGGGCUUUGGAUCGGGGAUCCGGUGGUUUCUGGUUUCCUAACCCUUGUGGGUCGAGUGAUUGUUGAGAUUUAGAGCAGAGUUGCAUCUUGGGUAAUUCUCGGUUACAGAAAGUGAUGGGUAGUACAGAGAUCGUGCUUCAGUCGACAAAGCAGAUUCAGCAGAUGAGACAGAGGUUAUUGACCGCCCAGAGCCGACAAGAAAAGUUAUGCAGACAGACGCCAGUCCGAGCUUGGGUUUCAAGUCGGCGACUUCAUACUCCUGAAGGCCUCUUCUUGGAGAGGAGUGAUUCGAUUCA